RNAcentral lists this ribosomal RNA (331 nucleotides) under uncultured bacterium. RNAcentral describes it as "bacterial SSU rRNA". It matches the Rfam family "Bacterial small subunit ribosomal RNA", at positions 568 to 898 of the family's 1533-position model. The record is from RNAcentral.
CGUGCAGGUGGCUCUGUAAGUUGGAUGUGAAAUUUCCCGGCUUAACCGGGAGGGGUCAUUCAAUACUGCGGGGCUUGAGGGCAGAAGAGGGGGUGGAAUUGCCGGUGUAGUGGUGAAAUGCGUAGAUAUCGGCAGGAACACCUGUGGCGAAAGCGGCCCCCUGGUCUGCUCCUGACACUCAGACGCGAAAGCUAGGGGAGCGAACGGGAUUAGAAACCCCGGUAGUCCUAGCCGUAAACGAUGGAUGCUAGGUGUAGGUGGUAUUGACCCCAUCUGUGCCGAAGCUAACGCGUUAAGCAUCCCGCCUGGGGACUACGGCCGCAAGGUUAAA